GAUGAAGAACGCAGUGAAAUGCGAUAAGUAAUGUGAAUUGCAGAAUUCAGUGAAUCAUCGAAUCUUUGAACGCACCUUGCACCCUUUGGCAUUCCGAAGGGUAUGCUCGUUUGAGUGUCAUUGUACUCUCACACUCUCCGAUCCUAUGGAUUCGGGGAGCGGUGGACUUGGGUGUUGCUGCCUUUCCCUGUGGCUCACCUCAAAUGCGUCAGUGCACCUCUUGGUUGGACAUAGUACGGCGUGAUAAGUGUCUUCGCCGGCACCUCGCAAGAGGGUGGCCGAUCGGGAGCUCUGCGCUUUCAAACCGUCUUCGGACAAUUUCUGACAUCUUGACCUCAAAUCGAGUAGGACUACCCGCUGAACUUAAGCAUAUCAAUAGCGGAGGA
This 386-nucleotide unclassified non-coding RNA is filed under the name soil metagenome. Its description in RNAcentral is "partial contains 5.8S ribosomal RNA, internal transcribed spacer 2, and large subunit ribosomal RNA". The stretch from base 1 to 120 matches the Rfam family "5.8S ribosomal RNA", at positions 35 to 154 of the family's 154-position model. The record is from RNAcentral.